RNAcentral lists this transfer RNA (79 nucleotides) under Alosa alosa (allis shad). Its description in RNAcentral is "tRNA-Leu". It matches the Rfam family "tRNA". Rfam says of the family: Transfer RNA (tRNA) molecules are approximately 80 nucleotides in length. Their secondary structure includes four short double-helical elements and three loops (D, anti-codon, and T loops). The record is from RNAcentral. Lineage: Eukaryota; Metazoa; Chordata; Actinopteri; Clupeiformes; Clupeidae.
GGUAGUGUGGCCGAGCGGUCUAAGGCGCUGGAUUUAGGCUCCAGUCUCUCUGGGCGUGGGUUCAAAUCCACCACUGCCA